This 253-nucleotide ribosomal RNA is filed under the name uncultured bacterium. Its description in RNAcentral is "partial 16S ribosomal RNA". It matches the Rfam family "Bacterial small subunit ribosomal RNA", at positions 524 to 776 of the family's 1533-position model. The record is from RNAcentral.
UACGGAGGGUGCGAGCGUUGUUCGGAAUCACUGGGCGUAAAGCGCGUGUAGGCGGCCUUGUAAGUCUGGUGUGAAAGCCCGGGGCUUACCCCCGGAAGUGCACUGGAAACUGUGAGGCUAGAGUACCGGAGAGGAGGGUGGAAUUCCUGGUGUAGCGGUGAAAUGCGUAGAUAUCAAGCGGAACACCGGUGGCGAAGGCGGCCUUCUGGACAGUGACUGACGCUGAGACGCGAAAGCGUGGGGAGCAAACAGG